GGACCCGCACAAGUAGUGGAGCAUGUGGUUUAAUUCGAAGAUACGCGCAGAACCUUACCAACACUUGACAUGUUCGUCGCGACUUUAAGAGAUUAAAGUUUUCGGUUCGGCCGGACGAAACACAGGUGCUGCAUGGCUGUCGUCAGCUCGUGUCGUGAGAUGUUGGGUUAAGUCCCGCAACGAGCGCAACCCUCACUUUUAGUUGCCAUCAUUUAGUUGGGCACUCUGAAAGAACUGCCAGUGAUAAGCUGGAGGAAGGUGGGGAUGACGUCAAGUCCUCAUGGCCCUUACGUGUUGGGCUACACACGUGCUACAAUGGUAUCUACAACAGGAAGCAAAACAGCGAUGUUAAGCAAAUCCUUAAAAGAUACCUCAGUUCGGAUUGCACUCUGCAACUCGAGUGCAUG
Molecule: ribosomal RNA, 407 nt
Filed under: uncultured bacterium
Lineage: Bacteria
Description: bacterial SSU rRNA
Rfam family: Bacterial small subunit ribosomal RNA
Source: RNAcentral